RNAcentral lists this ribosomal RNA (292 nucleotides) under uncultured bacterium. RNAcentral's name for it is "partial 16S ribosomal RNA". It matches the Rfam family "Bacterial small subunit ribosomal RNA", at positions 505 to 796 of the family's 1533-position model. The record is from RNAcentral.
GUGUCAGCCGCCGCGGUAAUACGAAGGGGGCUAGCGUUGCUCGGAAUUACUGGGCGUAAAGGGCGCGUAGGCGGCCGAUCAAGUCAGGCGUGAAAUUCCCGGGCUCAACCUGGGGGCUGCGCUUGAGACUGGUUGGCUAGAGGCCGAGAGAGGGUGGUGGAAUUCCCAGUGUAGAGGUGAAAUUCGUAGAUAUUGGGAAGAACACCGGUGGCGAAGGCGGCCACCUGGCUCGGUACUGACGCUGAGGCGCGACAGCGUGGGGAGCAAACAGGAUUAGAUACCCCCGUAGUCC